GUUGUUGUUGUUGUUGAUAUUAUUGCUAUUUCUUGGGCCGCUCCCGCGGCAUAUGGAGGUUCCCAGGAUAGGGGUCCAAUCGGAGCUGUAGCCACCAGCCUACGCCAGAGCCACAGCAACUCGGGAUCCGAGCCGCGUCUGCAACCUACACCACAGCUCACGGCAACGCCGGAUCGUUAACCCACUGAGCAAGGGCAGGGACCGAACCUGCAACCUCAUGGUUCCUAGUCGGAUUCGUUAACCACUGCGCCACGACGGGAACUCCCAAUAAUUUUUUUUAAAUGUUUCCUGCCAUUUCAGAAAACAGUGACUGCUGCCUGCCAUCUCCAAGCUAGGAGCCACUGGAACCACCCAGACAGUGUAACCUGAAGGGAAUUCAAGAUGGAGAAAAAUAGGAUACCAGGCCUAGAUGGUGAAGAUGCAUAUCCAUGUAAUUACUUCAAUGAGCCCAGACUCUUACAUUUUCCUAUACAUAGAAAAGCACUAAAAUGACCAACUUGAGAUGUCUGCUUUUUGUGAUUAGCAGUAAUUUUUGAUAUUCAAAUACAUGUUCAUCAUUUUGUUUUGUUUACAGCAAAAAUUCCUAUAUAUCCUGGCUCCUCCCUUACCUCUUCAGAGCAGUUCCUUAAAGCUAUCUGAAAGGCUGUCUCCCAGGCUAUAGUCCUCAGUAAGAUUCCCAAAUAAAACAUAACUCUCAUCUUUCAGGUUGUGUGUUUCCCUUCAGUUGACCUAUCUGUGUGUCCUUGUUCCCAGAACACCCAGCCUCAACAUCUUGUGUGGGUGCUUGAUGAACCACUGCAGAGGUAAGGCACCUGGCUUAGAGCAGGUUGCUGGGAGGAUGCGUCCCCACCCCCUACACCCUCUACCAGUAGGAUUUCAGGAGCAUUGCACUAAACAACACCACUGACCAAACACUGACCUUAGCUUACUAAGGGUAGAAAGAAGGAGAAAGGGGAAAGUACAAUUCAUGCAUAUUCUUAUGAAAUACGAUUUUCAAAUUGAAAUAAUCUAGAACAUACUUUGUACCUAAGUUAGUGAAAGCACAUAGGAUUUUUUGUUCUCUCAGCUGCAAUAUGACCUUUAACCAAAAGGGACCAGAAAUUAUAUACCCAAAUGAGGAUAAUAAUUAUCUUUACUUCAUGGAGUUGAUAUAAGUAAAUGAAAACAAAGCAUACAAAAUAUGCAACAUUAUCUUUAACGCAGAGAACACUCAGUAAAUAUUGACUGCUGCUAUAAUAACGACUAUAUAUAUAUAUAUGUAAAUAUAUAUUUGCCAGUUACAAUGCCUUUACUGGGACAUUUUACCUUAUAGAGCCUCCUCCUCUGGAAUCACCUGGACAUCCUAACUCCCAUUCUUCCUAACUACCUAAAUAUGGAUUUGGGGUGGGAUUUGAUAAAUAGAGACAACUGAAAAUCAGUUAAAUCUAAACCCAGUGUCUAUAAACUUCUUGACUAUUAGCUCUAAGUCUUAUUCUUUUAUUUUUCUUUAUAACCAUAAUCUUUCACAGUGCUUGGUACUUAACUCCAGCAAAUAUUUAUUUAAAGAGUCGAAUAUUUGUUGAAUAAAUCAUGGAAUGAAUAAAGUAGGUGAACAAGCAAUUUACUCCGCUUCUUCACCCAACCUAGCUUCAAGACUCUAUUAGAAUGCUCUCAAUGGGUGGAGAGAUGUAUCCAUAUAAAUUGGAAGUAUAAACAAUUUUUCUAGCUUUCCUUCAAUAUCCUCUGCUAAACACUUUUCAUGUUCUCUUGUUUCUGCAAUUAGUCUUAGAAGUCUAAGGUCAAAGUGUCAGCAGACGGGUGUCCCUUCUUGAGGCUCAGGGGCAAAUCUGUUUCCUUGCUUUUUCUAACCUUGGGAUUACACUGGGCCCACCUUGAUGAUAUCCAUCCCAAGAUCCUUAUCACAUCUGCAAAGUACCUUUUACCAUGUAAGGUAACAUAGUCAUAGGUUCCCAAGAUGAGGAUGUUGCCACCUUUAAGGAGCAGCCAUUACUCAACCAACCCACUAUGUUUGGAGUAUUUUUCACACAGGCUUAAUCCCAUCCAAGUAGAAUCUUAACUUUACUUUUGAUAAGACCUGAGCAUGUGACUGAAUAAUAUGGCCAAUCUCAGAUGCCUGGGAUUUCAGUUGUGAAGUGAAAAACAUGAGAAAGUAGGUCUGAUGUAUAAUCCAUUUAUUUUCUGGUGAGAUUGGUUGCAGAAUUGUCUGGCUCUCUGGACACUGGUGGUGUCUAGUGGCAAGUCCACAUCAGUGAUGAGGUCUGGUUGCCUUGCCUAGCAGUGGUAGGGCAGGGGUGUUUUCUCGAACAAUUCCAUAGUACCAUAGCACAGUCUUGUAAGGGUAGCCUCCAAUUCUGACUCUUUAAUCCACCCAUAUAUUCAGUGCAUACCUGUUUUAAUGAAUUUCUUUCCUGUUUAUAUCCGUUUUUAAGGGGUUAUUUUCUUUACAACAAAGGACCUCAGUGGACACAACCUCCUGUCCUGCGUUGUAAGAAGAGCCUGCAGACGUUGCUGGAGUGCUCCUAAAAAACUAGAACACCAAUAUUUUGGGGCCUAUUAGAUGCCAAGUACCUGGCAAAAAAGGCUAUGAAGAAAUGCAGUGCAAUCAUUCAAACUCAGGGCUGGUAAACCGCACCAUCUUUUGUAAUAGCAGGUGUGAGAAGGAGGAUGGAAGCCAUAUGUGGCCCUGCUCUGAGAUUUUCUCAAUCUAAACAGACCAAUACUAAUAUAAUGCUGUUUGUGAAGGGAUAGGAAGAGAGAUUUUGAUUAUUGAUGUUGAUCAGCAUGAAUGCACCCCUCAGUGUUUUUCAAAGCAUUAGUUGUUUAUAUUAAACAGUCUUGGGAUAGUCCUUAGCUUGGAAAGCAAAAGUGCAUCUGACUUAAGUCUGCUUUUCACCCAGCGCCACUCUGCAUUAUCUACAGCUCACUCACCCAGACCCUUAAUUCACCUUUUUGUGGGACAGGAUAAUUUGGAUUGUUCAAAAUAAUUAUUUUUCUUUUGCUCUGUGUGCUGUGUCUUCUGCUUACAUUUAGGAGUUCAAAUCUGACUCUGGCAAUUAGUAGCUGGGUGAAUUAGACAAGUCACUCAAUCUCUCUGAACUUCCUCCUUCUAUAAAAUAGUACUAUUAUGUCCCCAACACAGGAUUGUACAGAAGACUGAAUAUGUGUGGUUGUGGCCAAGCUCAAGCUCUGGAUGGUGGUGGCUGAGCUCAAGCUCUGGAUUCAGACAUAACGGAGUUCAAAUCGUAGGUUACAUCUGACCAACGGCGUUCCCUUCAGCAAGUUAACUGGGUGAUUCUGUCUCCUCUCAAUAAAAUGGAAGAUGGAUGAGACUUACAAAGUGAAAUGAUUAAAUGAGAUAAUAGAUAGAGAGCUCUCUGUACAAUGUCUUUUACUAAUACUAUAAACAGUUUAUGUGGAUAUCUGGAGUGGAUUAAGGAGAUAUCAAAUGAGAGAAUAAAAUCAACAUUGUUUUCAUGCACUCUCCCCCACCACCCUCUUUUAACAUACUCUCUAGUGAUCCCAAAUGUUCAGAGAUGAACUUUAAAAGCUGCUACUACCGACAGAGGUCAGACCCAUGGUUUUCUGAGUUCAAGAACAGGAGAGGGAUUGAACAUGAUGGGGUGCAGAGAAAUUUAGGGCAUAAUGGAAAUGUUCUAUCUCGACUGUGGCAUUUAUUACAUGACUAUGUUCUUUUUCCAAAUUCAUCAAACAGUAGCUUUUAAAUGAAUGCAUUAUAUAUAUAUUACACUUCAAUAAAGUUGAUUUUACUUAUUGUAUUACAUACACUCUAGAGUAGAGGUUGGCCAAGUUUUUUCCGUGAAAGGACAGAUAGUAAAUAUUUUAGGCUUUGCCAGCCACAGGCUCUGUUAAAACUACUCCACUCUGUUGUCAUAAUUCAAAAGCAGCCACAGAGAAAGACAAAAAAAUAUAUAAAUGAAUGUGUGUGGCUGUGUUUCAAUAAAAUUCUAUUUAUAGACUGAUAUUUGGUUUCAUAUAAUCUUCAUGUUAUAAAAUAUUUUUCCUUUUGAUUGUCUUUCCAAUCUUUUCAAAAUGUAAAAAUCAUUCUCAGCUCCUAGCCUUACAGAAACAGGCAGCAGGGAGGGUUUGGUCCAUAGGCCAUUGUUUGCCAAGCCCUGUUCCACAGUUCAAAGGAGUCUCUGUCAAGCAGCAAUCUGACAUCUGCUUUAGGGGCUUCUCAGUGCAAAUGCCAUGUCUAAGAGGGCUGGGAAUCUCGCUCCUGUGAAUCCUAUAGAGUCCUUGCCAGAACCUGCUCCCUCUGUGGCUACGCUAAGCCCCACUGCUUCCUGACUUCAAUUUCCCCAUCAGUCCAGAGGACAAAAAUUGUCUCCCAGAGGCCCACAAAGCUCAUUCGGCUUGUGUCUUGGGAGAAAAUGCUCUAUCCAAGUGCAGUAACUGAUCAUGACUCAGGUUAUAUGUCCAGCUUGUCCCAAACAUCAGGGGGAAAGGUUGGAUUCUUCAGGUUGUCAUUUCUAAAAUUGCUUAACUUUGCAGGUGAUGUUCUCAUUUCUGAAUAUGGUAUGACCCCCACAUUCCCCAAAGAAGCGGACUGUUUUUUCGAAGAACUGGCAGCAGAACAGUACUCUCAAAGCUUGCUUCUUCUCUGCCAAGCUGCCAUCCCCAGCACAAACCAUCCUUCAGGAGAGGCUUCCCCUGAGAAUAUUUGCUUGGGCAAGGCCAGAGGUACUGUAUACUCCUCUGACAGCAAAGGGAGCUUUAAAAAAUCCAAACCAGCAAAAAUUGAGAUUUAGCUUUUAGUUUCUGACACUGACAGGGGCUUAAGGAACCUCUUUGGGGUGGUAAACACUGCCAAGACGUCCACAAAGUCAAGAUAAUUCUGGAGUUUCUAAAGCCUCAAGGUUUAAGAUUUUUGUUUAAAUAUUUCCUCUAAAAUGUAGCCAGUCUUUCAUUUAAAAAAAAAAAAAAGGUUUCAUUAAAAAACAAGUAUUGGAGUCAAUCAUUUUCAUUAGGGCUUGUAAACUUUUCCAGGGCCAGGCAGUAAAUAUAUUAGGCAUUUCAGGCAAUACAGUCUAUGUCGUAGUGACAGAACUCUGCUGACUAUGGUAUAAAAGCAGCCAGAGAUGAUGCAUAAAUGGAUAAGUAUGACUGUAUUUCAAGAAAAAUUUUUUUUUACAAAACUAAGUGGUGGGCCAGAUUUGGCCUAUAGGGUAUUAUUUGCUGAGCCUUGUGCUGAGCUCUAGCAUCUCUACAAGGGACUAGGUAGGCUGGGGAAUCAAAAAUAAAACUUAGAUCAACAGAUAUUGCUUGGAAUACCUGCAGGUAAUCUUGUAACCAUUAUUACAGAUCAGAGAGUAAAACCCAACCAAUAAGCAUAUUGUGCUAAGAGUGGGAACAGGGUAUACAAGUAGACUAGGUGAAUAGAGAUAGACUACAAUGACUUUUCCAUCUGAUAAAGGAAAAAGGUCAGUGAUGAGCAGCAUGAGAUUCGUAAAAGCCGAUGGGGUAUAAAGAACCAAGAGUCCACUGCUAACUGAACCAACUGCACCAACAUUCACAGAGAAGGACAUCUCUGGCUGAACUUGUGAGAUGGGUAUGAUUCAGGUGGGUAAAAAUGAGAUGGAGAAAUACAACACAAAUAAUAGUAUA
This 5625-nucleotide long non-coding RNA is filed under the name Sus scrofa (pig). Its description in RNAcentral is "lncRNA (ENSSSCG00055011356.1)". The record is from RNAcentral. Lineage: Eukaryota; Metazoa; Chordata; Mammalia; Artiodactyla; Suidae.